UACGAAGGGUGCAAGCGUUAAUCGGAAUUACUGGGCGUAAAGCGCGCGUAGGUGGUUCAGUAAGUUGGAAGUGAAAUCCCCGGGCUCAACCUGGGAACUGCUUUCAAAACUGCUGAGCUAGAGUACGGUAGAGGAUGGUGGAAUUUCCUGUGUAGCGGUGAAAUGCGUAGAUAUAGGAAGGAACACCAGUGGCGAAGGCGACCACCUGGACUGAUACUGACACUGAGGUGCGAAAGCGUGGGGAGCAAACAGG
RNAcentral lists this ribosomal RNA (253 nucleotides) under uncultured bacterium. Its description in RNAcentral is "partial 16S ribosomal RNA". It matches the Rfam family "Bacterial small subunit ribosomal RNA", at positions 524 to 776 of the family's 1533-position model. The record is from RNAcentral.